GACAGCAGUCGCCACGGUAAUACGGAGGGUGCAAGCGUUAAUCGGAAUUACUGGGCGUAAAGCGCACGCAGGCGGUCUGUCAAGUCAGAUGUGAAAUCCCCGGGCUUAACCUGGGAACUGCAUUUGAAACUGGCAGGCUAGAGUCUUGUAGAGGGGGGUAGAAUUCCAGGUGUAGCGGUGAAAUGCGUAGAGAUCUGGAGGAAUACCGGUGGCGAAGGCGGCCCCCUGGACAAAGACUGACGCUCAGGUGCGAAAGCGUGGGGAGCAAACAGGAUUAGAUACCCCAGUAGUCCCUGUCUCUUAUAC
Molecule: ribosomal RNA, 306 nt
Filed under: uncultured bacterium
Lineage: Bacteria
Description: partial 16S ribosomal RNA
Rfam family: Bacterial small subunit ribosomal RNA
Source: RNAcentral